AUGGCCAGCGUGAUGGGGGAAGGGAGGAGGCGGACACAGAACACUCUGCAGGUACAUACACACACACACACUGCGGAGCGGUCUGUAUCCAUCCGCCGCUCCCAGGAGGCGGACACAGAACACUCUGCAGGUACACACACACACAUACACACACACACACACACACACACACACACUGCGGGGCGGUCUGUAUCCAUCCGCCGCUCCCAGGAGGCGGACACAGAACACUCUGCAGGUACACACACACACACACACACACACACACACUGCGGGGCGGUCUGUAUCCAUCCGCCGCUCCCAGGAGGCGGACACAGAACACUCUGCAGGUACACACACACACACACACACACACACACACACACACACACACUGCAGGGCGGUCUGUAUCCAUCCGCCGCUCCCAGGAGGCGGACACAACACUCUGCAGGUACACACACACACACACACACACACACACACACACACUGCGGGGCGGUCUGUAUCCAUCCGCCGCUCCCAGGAGGCGGACACAACACUCUGCAGGUACACACACACACACACACACACACACACACACACACUGCGGGGCGGUCUGUAUCCAUCCGCCGCUCCCAGGAGGCGGACACAGAACACUCUGCAGGUACACACACACACACACACUGCGGGGCGGUCUGUAUCCAUCCGCCGCUCCCUGCAGUGCAGCCCGUCCAGACCGGUCCGCCCGCGCCACCCGUGACCCUUCUGUGCUGCAGGACCAGAAGCGUGGCGGGGGGGCUCACCCCACAGGGGGCAGUGGAGGGCUGGCUUGGCGGGCUGGCGUGGCCCCGCCCCUCAAGCUGGCGUUAUUCCCAGCCCCGCCCCCUGUGGGUCGGAAUUACACUGGGUCUGGUGGGGGUUGGGUGCGGGGGUAUCAAACCCAUUCGUGCUGUAUCCCUCCACCCCCCGCUCCGACACCCUCGCCGCGAGCGGUCGGUGCUGCAGUCUACACAUCUUCUGCCUGGUUUGGCGCAGCGGCGCAGGGGGCCAGACGCCUCUUUGCUGUUCUACCCACACGGAGAGCGGUGGGAAGUGAAAGAGGAACUGCGACCGGAGUGGGAGGACGACCAUCGGGACCCUGCACCCGCGAAGCACAAAGGAGGUGAACAACAAGUGGUGGAUCUUCAGAAUUGA
This 1149-nucleotide long non-coding RNA is filed under the name Bos grunniens (domestic yak). RNAcentral describes it as "lncRNA (ENSBGRG00000018766.1)". The record is from RNAcentral. Lineage: Eukaryota; Metazoa; Chordata; Mammalia; Artiodactyla; Bovidae.